AUUGAACGCUAGCGGGAUGCCUUACACAUGCAAGUCGAACGGAGUGGCGAACGGGUGAGUAAUGUAUCGGAACGUGACAAGUAGCGGGGGAUAACUACGCGAAAGCGUAGCUAAUACCGCAUACUAUUGGCACGGACGCUAUCGGAUUCGCUAGUUGGUGGGGUAACGGCUCACCAAGGCGACGAUCCGUAGCUGGUUUGAGAGGACGACAAGACAGACUGGGACUGAGACACGGCCCAGACUCCGACGGGAGGCAGCAGUGGGGAAGUUUGGACAAGGGGGGAAACCCUGAUCCAGCCAUCCAGCGUGUGCGAGGAAGGCCUGCGGGUUGUAAAGCACUUUUGGCAGGAAAGCGGUACCUGCAGAAUAAGCACCGGCUAACUACGUGCCAGCAGCCGCGGUAAUAC
Molecule: ribosomal RNA, 407 nt
Filed under: uncultured bacterium
Lineage: Bacteria
Description: partial 16S ribosomal RNA
Rfam family: Bacterial small subunit ribosomal RNA
Source: RNAcentral